Molecule: long non-coding RNA, 436 nt
Filed under: Trifolium pratense (red clover)
Lineage: Eukaryota; Viridiplantae; Streptophyta; Magnoliopsida; Fabales; Fabaceae
Description: long non-coding RNA (TPRA_LNC014198)
Source: RNAcentral
UGAUUUAUUCUUGCAUUUCGUUUAGCGCUGAUUUGUAAAAUGAAGCAUUUUCCAUUUAAUAUUCAUAUUUGCACUUAGAUAACUUAUUUAAUAAAAAAUUAAUAAGUUUGCAAACAAUUAUUUGGAAAUGUAUAAAGAGGAAGAAUAAUCUUAAUAAGUUGACUUGUUGACUUGUUUUGUAGCAACAAAGAUUCUCAUGUGGAAGUUCAAAUGAAUUAAUGAACAUGCCAAAUUGUAGUUAAGUCUUCCAUUCUCUUCCUUACUUAUAUACACACCAAUGCAUAAUAAUCAAAAGAAAUUGUAGUUAAGUCUUCCAUUCUCUUCCUUUUUCUAUAUAGAUAGCUUAGCUACACAAUCAUUUAAAGUUUGGCCUUCUUUUGAUUGUUGCAACAAUUCCAAAAGAAGAAAAAAAAAAUGGCAAAAGGGGGAGUUGAUG